Molecule: non-coding RNA, 1067 nt
Organism: Biomphalaria pfeifferi
Lineage: Eukaryota; Metazoa; Mollusca; Gastropoda; Planorbidae
Source: the annotation of a GenBank genome assembly
UGCUUUAGUCAUUUUCUAAUCCUUCUGUUGAGUAAGAGAAAUGUUAAGAUCGGAAAUCUAAAUCUAGAGUUAAAAUAUUUUAACAAGUUUUCCAAUUUACAAAGGGUCUGAGAAAUUGUUUGGAUCUAAUCACAAAAUAAAGUUCCGGAACCUAAGUAGAUUUGACCAAGUCUAAGUCGGCUUAACCACUGUACUAUAAAAUAAAGGUUUAUUUAUAUUAGAACGCCAACAUAUUUUGGAGGUGGAGCUAGUGACGUCGGCAAAGGUCACAAAGCUGCAGCCAAUCAGGAGCGAGUCUAAAUUUAGAUGCGCUGCGCUAGUGCGUGCUACAAACGUGAUACUGAAAUGUCACAACUAGGUCAAGUAAUGACCUAGAUCUAUUUUUUUUUUUUCGUUCAGCAGUUGCACUAAGUAGAUGGAGCGUAACUCUGCACCGCAAAUAAAUAUAGCCUACACCUACCCAAUAAAUCUUUCUAAGGACUGAUCACAUUGCCUAGCUAGAAUAAUUUCUAAUUGAGUUGAAAUAAAUAAUCUUGACGAGUAAAUGAAUGAUCUCCAAAAUUCAAAACUUUUAAUAUAGACUAGUUUUAUCAUACUAAUACUGAUAGAUCUAGUCUAAUAUUCAUACUGCUGCAUACUCAUGAAACUUACUGUACACAAGAAUAAGCCUACAAAAAAAGUAACACGAUUAGGUAUAGAUUCCCUAAAUCUUGACUCUAUGGUCUAUAUCCAUAGAUUAGACUUUAGACUCUUAGAUCUAAACAUCGAAUCUAGAUAUAUCUAUCAUCUAGACUUAUUUAGAUCUAGAAUAAUAUAGUUCUAUGAUUCUAUCUGACUUAACGUUUACUGUAGACAGUAGUCAGUGUGUGUAGUCUUUUGGUAAACUAAAACUCUCUAAACUUUAUGAUUAUUUUUCACAACAGACAGUAUAACAGUUAACACAUCAGCUUUAUUCUUUAACUAAAAACUUUGAAUAAUAAAUGAUAGAAUCUACAAGUCUAAUCUAGAAAUAUUCUAACAUUUUAAUAUAACAUAAUACUUACCCUUGCCAAAUUAAUCCAAGUAAG